Molecule: non-coding RNA, 30 nt
Filed under: Rattus norvegicus (Norway rat)
Lineage: Eukaryota; Metazoa; Chordata; Mammalia; Rodentia; Muridae
Source: RNAcentral
UGACUGAAUCAGUGCACUACUCUGAGGCGU